AUUAGUGAUUUUCUCCUAUAUAGAAUAGCAUGUUUUUAAAAUAAUUCUCUUUCUUAUGUGCCGUUUGGCUGCAUUCGGCUUCAGCCAAGCGCUUGCACUCGAUGACACGGAAUGUUGUUUACAUCUAAAAACGUGGCGACAUCAGCUGAGAUAUGCAGUGGAUUUAAAUGCAAUAACCAGACAUUCUUUAAAGAAAAUAGGGAUAAGAUGAGAGACAAGGCAUUGUUUAUCCCUAUUACGAGAAUAUGAGGACAUUAUCACAGAAAAUAACGGAAGACUGAGACGAUCUGCGCUAGCUCCCUAGAUCCAUCACUGCAGUGCAUUCAGCCCAGCAGUCAAGAGUUCCAGGCUUGAAGAAUAAAUAAAUACAAAAUGCACCCAUUUCUCCACAGGCUAUUCCUAAAGAAUUGGACCAAUGUAUUCAUUCAU
Saccostrea cuccullata (small rock oyster) is the source of this 429-nucleotide long non-coding RNA. RefSeq lists it as uncharacterized. The record is from RefSeq and is a predicted model, not a curated record. Lineage: Eukaryota; Metazoa; Mollusca; Bivalvia; Ostreida; Ostreidae. The transcript has 3 exons.